AGUGGCGGACGGGUGAGGAACACGUGGGAACGUGCCUUUUGGUUCGGAACAACUCAGGGAAACUUGAGCUAAUACCGGAUGUGCCCUUCGGGGGAAAGAUUUAUCGCCAUUAGAGCGGCCCGCGUCUGAUUAGCUAGUUGGUGGGGUAAUAGCCUACCAAGGCGACGAUCAGUAGCUGGUCUGAGAGGAUGAUCAGCCACAUUGGGACUGAGACACGGCCCAAACUCCUACGGGAGGCAGCAGUGGGGAAUCUUGCGCAAUGGGCGAAAGCCUGACGCAGCCAUGCCGCGUGAAUGAUGAAGGUCUUAGGAUUGUAAAAUUCUUUCACCGGGGACGAUAAUGACGGUACCCGGAGAAGAAGCCCCGGCUAACUUCGUGCCAGCAGCCGCGGUAAUACGAAGGGGGCUAGCGUUGCUCGGAAUUACUGGGCGUAAAGGGAGCGUAGGCGGAUAGUUAAGUCAGAGGUGAAAGCCCAGGGCUCAACCUUGGAAUUGCCUUUGA
RNAcentral lists this ribosomal RNA (501 nucleotides) under uncultured bacterium. RNAcentral describes it as "bacterial SSU rRNA". It matches the Rfam family "Bacterial small subunit ribosomal RNA", at positions 94 to 630 of the family's 1533-position model. The record is from RNAcentral.